AUUGAACGCUGGCGGAAUGCUUUACACAUGCAAGUCGAACGGUAGAGGGGGCAACCCCCUUGAGAGUGGCGAACGGGUGAGUAAUAUAUCGGAACGUGCCCAGUCGUGGGGAUAACGUAGCGAAAGUUACGCUAAUACCGCAUACGAUCUAAGGAUGAAAGCGGGGGAUCGCAAGACCUCGCGCGAUUGGAGCGGCCGAUAUCAGAUUAGGUAGUUGGUGGGGUAAAGGCUCACCAAGCCAACGAUCUGUAGCUGGUCUGAGAGGACGACCAGCCACACUGGAACUGAGACACGGUCCAGACUCCUACGGGAGGCAGCAGUGGGGAAUUUUGGACAAUGGGCGAAAGCCUGAUCCAGCAAUGCGCGUGCAGGAAGAAGGCCUCGGUGUAAC
RNAcentral lists this ribosomal RNA (391 nucleotides) under uncultured bacterium. Its description in RNAcentral is "bacterial SSU rRNA". It matches the Rfam family "Bacterial small subunit ribosomal RNA", at positions 30 to 429 of the family's 1533-position model. The record is from RNAcentral.